GACAGCAGUCGCCGCGGUAAUACGUAUGUCACGAGCGUUAUCCGGAUUUAUUGGGCGUAAAGCGCGUCUAGGUGGUUAUAUAAGUCUGAUGUGAAAAUGCAGGGCUCAACUCUGUAUUGCGUUGGAAACUGUAUAACUAGAGUACUGGAGAGGUAAGCGGAACUACAAGUGUAGAGGUGAAAUUCGUAGAUAUUUGUAGGAAUGCCGAUGGGGAAGCCAGCUUACUGGACAGAUACUGACGCUGAAGCGCGAAAGCGUGGGUAGCAAACAGGAUUAGAUACCCCCGUAGUCCCUGUCUCUUAUACA
Molecule: ribosomal RNA, 306 nt
Filed under: uncultured bacterium
Lineage: Bacteria
Description: partial 16S ribosomal RNA
Rfam family: Bacterial small subunit ribosomal RNA
Source: RNAcentral